UACGAAGGGGGGCUAGCGUUGCUCGGAAUCACUGGGCGUAAAAGGGCGCGUAGGCGGGCUCUUAAGUCAGGGGUGAAAGCCCAAGGCUCAACCUUGGAAUUGCCUUUGAUACUGAGGGCCUUGAGACCGGAAGAGGUCGGCGGAACUGCGAGUGUAGAGGUGAAAUCGUAGAUAUUCGCAAGAACACCAGUGGCGAAGGCG
Molecule: ribosomal RNA, 201 nt
Filed under: uncultured bacterium
Lineage: Bacteria
Description: partial 16S ribosomal RNA
Rfam family: Bacterial small subunit ribosomal RNA
Source: RNAcentral